GUCCCAGAAGCAGCCAAUUUUAGUUCAGCCUCUUUAAAACUCUGGAUUGUAAACAAACAGUAGGAGUUUCUUUCCACAGUGGAAGGGAGAAUAAUGAGAAGAAGGAUGCAGAAGAGAGGGGAAAGUUGAAAGUAGCUGAUAUGGGACCACAGAAUAUUGGCCAAUCAUUAAUUCCUCUUCUGAAGUCGUGAACCCCUUAAAGUCAUCCGUGAGACUUGGAAUCAACUUCUUCCCAAACUCCUGUUCAUCUUGAUAUUUUGAUUUCCUCUGCUAAACUGCAAAUGUGCUUAAUGACAUCUAUAAUGGUGAAUCAUUUCCAGAAUUUUUUUGACUCACUUUUCCCAGAUUCAUCAUAGGAAUCAAUGUCUCUGGCAGCUAUGGCCUUAUGAAAUGUAUUUUUUAAAUAAUAAUCUUGA
This 416-nucleotide long non-coding RNA is filed under the name Homo sapiens (human). RNAcentral's name for it is "HSALNT0328044". Lineage: Eukaryota; Metazoa; Chordata; Mammalia; Primates; Hominidae. The record is from RNAcentral.